GAAUCUCAUGUGUGCAGAAAUAUCUGUAGAUCAGUAAGAACGCUUCUUAUAUCGGCAGCUCGAACUUAGCACCUCUACUGGUGAUUUGUGGUAUUCGAUUGUCGAGAUGGGAUCUGCUUAAUCGAUUGAGCAUGAUAUUGACGUUUAAAAUAAAAACUGAAAAUGGUUUAGUGUCUUUUCUUUGGCAAAAUAUGUAUGUACCAUUUUCUUAUGUCAUCGAUGCAUUUUUAAAUACAUUUGGUUAAAUAUACUGUGAUUGAUUUUUUCAAAAAGUGAAUAAGUUUUCUCUUAUUCUUCUAAGAAAAGUUCGCGAUGUCAGCAGUGACGUUAUCUCAGGAGACUUUGUCUGUGUGUUUAUGGAAAGAAUACGCAGCGACUAACAAGCAAAUGCACGUGUGACGACUCGAUUUCGCUUUUGGCGUAUUUCGUUGCAAGAAUAGUGCUCGAUACUCUCUACGCAAUUAAAUCUCUGAAGAUUAUACCUGAUUGAUAACUUAUCGUUAAUCGUCUAUUCGUGAGUAUAUACAGCGUCCAUUAUCAUGUCAAAAUUGAUUGAUGAGAAAAAUUAAGAAAAAUUAGUCAAUAAGAAGUAUUGAUAGAUCAUGCACGUUAAGUGAAACAGGCAAACAGAAUAAUAAAAAAAUGUUCCGAGUAUGUGUUUUUAAAUUCGCUGACUAGUAAUCGCUAUUAUUAGUUCCUACUAAAAUAGCUGCUUUUUUAUCCGCGUUAUAUAUGCAGAUAAGAUAAAGGAGAAUAUUUCAACCGUUUGUAUCGGUGGAAAAUCGCCUUGUCAAUUUCUAAUUGCGCAUAUGUUAAUAUCAAGAACGCUUCACGAUAUAUGCAUAUCUUGUACGACAGAUGCGUUCUUCUCGUCUUUUUUACAAGGAAGAUCGAUGCGUGAUUUGUUAACCUCGAAAACGCCACGAACAAGGCUUAACCUACAUGUUAACCGAGAAAAUCAAGCGAACGUGAAACAGGCAAAACAACGAUUCUCCGUGUAUUCUUUGAGCACAUGUGAGGCAGAUUGCUCCCGCGGCACCGAUUUACGAAACGGCAAUGACAUUCCAUGGCGUCGUAAUUUUUCCAAUCGGGUAACGUUUCAAAUGUAGCCGCUAAGUCGAGGCCUUGGCUAUAGGCAGAAGUUAGCUCAAGGACGACGACCGCCUGUCUAUUCGAAUUUCAUCAUGGUGUGAAGCUAAGCAGGUGAAUGUCAGCCCCUUACGCCUCAUGCCCGUAAUGAGACAUAUCUUUCAGGUAUAACGCUGUGCUCAGUAGAUGGACCUGAUUUAGUUAAAAAUAAUGAUUAUGUAAAAUGUUAUCAACGAACAUAAAAAAUAGUAAGUAAAUAUGUAGGCUGGUAGAUAGUCUUUAAUUAAAGCUUUUAAUAUUCUGUAUUGUCAUGAUGGAGAUAAUUAGAGUGCAGACGCUUAUGGAUUGGAAAAUUGAAAGAUAAUUGAAAAUGUAAAAUAUCCAAAAAAGCUCGUGUAAUAUUUAGAGGAUUUUAGUUGAAUUUAUAAAUUUCAAAUCCAUUGAAAUCCCCUUAUUUUAUUAUUAAUUAGUAAUCCAUUAUUAUUAAAUAAUAGUAGUAAAUUCAUUUGAAGAAGACAUCUUUAUUUUAAUUUCCUAAAUCUCUCAUCACACCAUCUCAUUUACGUGUAUCAUGCACAAAUGCGAAAUUAUCGCAUGUCGAAUUAGGAUAAUCCCUUCCUUACUAUACACAUUAUAUACACAUUAGAUGUUUAGAUGCGAAGGAAGAAAUUGUGUAUCCAUCCUUUUGAUCUGGCUGACACCUUGUGUCGCAGUUCACGGUUGAUUAUACAUAAGGCUAAUGACAAGGUAGAGAAUAAGAGACUAGUAACUGAUCCAGCUUCCUCGUUUAUCUUGGGCACUAAGUUAUACAGGUGGCACCUGCAUGCUUCAAAGCGGAGGAAACCGCAGGUCGUGGAACGUCUAGCCAUCCAGAGGGAGCAGGUUAAGGCGCGAAUAUCCGACAUAUCAGUUUGGUGAGUCAUGCGUCUUGUUCGAUAUGUUCCGGCUACCCCGUUCACCGCCUACACGACCCGCCAUAUGAGUCAUCGACGAUUCUUGGAAACGAAGCGUGCCGCUCGUUUGAAAUUUUCGUCGCCAAGUGACGCUACUGCAUACUUUGGAAACAGUACCGACAAAAUCAACAUUCUAUAGAUUCUGGCAUUCGGUACUCGGUACUAUUCCGUUUGCUUGGAAAAUUCCGCUCCAAUGGCACUAUCAAUUGCGCAAUAUCAUCCACACGUAUUGCCAAUAACAGAAGAUAAGCAUCAGAAUGACAUUGCAACAGUAUCGCAAGUCAGUCAGGGAUGAAACAAUUGCAGAAUAAUUAUCGUAUGAAGGGUACAGGGAUGAUAGUAAGCGUUGUUAGUUAAACACGUUUUGUACGUCGUUUAAAAGAUUCCUAAAAUAUGACUAAACGAUAAGAUUGGAAGAAAUCUUAGUAAUGUUCUAUCUCCACAUUCUUGAAUAUCAAUUAUAUUUAUCUUUCUGAUAAAUAUUUGUAAGAUUGAAGUUUUCAAUAUCAGAUGAAAAUUUUGUAGUGUAAUUUUCUAAUGUUUUAUUUAGGUAAAUGAUUCGUUAUCUUAUACCAAUUAGCAUGUAGAUUAGUGGAAUCUUAACUGACCAUCCUUAUCUGACCCACCAAUCCAUAAAAUGAAUUCCUUGAAACGAGGUUUUAAAUCUUCUUGCACAAUUGAGUUAAUAUUAUUACUAAAAUUUUACGUCAUAAAUUUGGUAAGGGUAAAAAUGAAGUUUAGUAAAUGAAUUUUACAAGCUACAAAU
Bombus terrestris (buff-tailed bumblebee) is the source of this 2808-nucleotide long non-coding RNA. RefSeq lists it as uncharacterized. NCBI's taxonomy places the organism in Eukaryota, Metazoa, Arthropoda, Insecta, Hymenoptera, Apidae. The transcript is spliced from 2 exons. The record is from RefSeq and is a predicted model, not a curated record.